ACAAUUCAACAGCAAAAAAGAAAAAAACAAGCAGCUACUCAAAUAAUGCUGUCAAGAUUCAAGAACCCAUGCCCUAACUUUCUGCAAACUGUUAAUUUCUAGAGAGCGAGAGCAAGAAGAAGAAGAAGAAGAAGAGGGGAGAUGGAUACGUGUUUGGGUAAUGAGAGGAGUAGAUGCCAGUGGUGAGGGUGGCAGUGUUGGGUCAGAUAAGAGGAUUAAAGCCCUCUGUAACCUCAUCAAUGCUGCUUCCUCUGCAACUACAGUUAAUUUUUAUUUAUUUUUUAUUUUUUCACAUCAAUUUAAGUCAAAAUAAAU
Molecule: long non-coding RNA, 315 nt
Organism: Ipomoea nil (Japanese morning glory)
Lineage: Eukaryota; Viridiplantae; Streptophyta; Magnoliopsida; Solanales; Convolvulaceae
Exons: 3
Source: RefSeq, a predicted model, not a curated record